CUUAAGCAUAUCAAUAAGCGGAGGAAAAAGAAACCAACAGGGAUUACCUCAGUAACGGCGAGUGAAGCGGUAACAGCUCAAAUUUGAAAUCUGGCCCUUUCAGGGUCCGAGUUGUAAUUUGUAGAAGAUGCUUUGGGUGUGGCCCCGGUCUAAGUUCCUUGGAACAGGACGUCAUAGAGGGUGAGAAUCCCGUAUGUGACUGGGUGCUUUCGCCCGUGUAAAGCUCUUUCGACGAGUCGAGUUGUUUGGGAAUGCAGCUCAAAAUGGGUGGUAAAUUUCAUCUAAAGCUAAAUAUUGGCCAGAGACCGAUAGCGCACAAGUAGAGUGAUCGAAAGAUGAAAAGCACUUUGGAAAGAGAGUUAAACAGUACGUGAAAUUGUUGAAAGGGAAGCGCUUGCAACCAGACUCGCAUGCCGUCGAUCAUCCUGGGUUCUCCCUGGUGCACUCGGCGGCGUUCGGGCCAGCAUCAGUUUCGGUGGUGGGAUAAAGGCUUUGGGAAUGUAGCUUCUUUCGGGGAGUGUUAUAGCCCUCGGUGCAAUGCCGCCUACCGGGACUGAGGACCGCGCUUCGGCUAGGAUGCUGGCGUAAUGGUUGUAAGCGACCCGUCUUGAAACACGGACCAAGGAGUCUAACAUCUAUGCGAGUAUUUGGGUGUUAAACCCAUAUGCGUAAUGAAAGUGAACGGAGGUGAGAACCCUUAAGGGUGCAUCAUCGACCGAUCCUGAUGUCUUCGGAUGGAUUUGAGUAAGAGCAUAGCUGUUGGGACCCGAAAGAUGGUGAACUAUGCCUAAAUAGGGUGAAGCCAGAGGAAACUCUGGUGGAGGCUGCAGCGGUUCUGACGUGCAAAUCGAUCGUCAAAUUUGGGUAUAGGGGCGAAAGACUAAUCGAACCAUCUAGUAGCUGGUUCCUGCCGAA
RNAcentral lists this ribosomal RNA (915 nucleotides) under Incrucipulum foliicola. RNAcentral's name for it is "partial large subunit ribosomal RNA". It matches the Rfam family "Eukaryotic large subunit ribosomal RNA", at positions 33 to 965 of the family's 3401-position model. Lineage: Eukaryota; Fungi; Ascomycota; Leotiomycetes; Helotiales; Lachnaceae. The record is from RNAcentral.